UGGGGAAUUUUGGACAAUGGGGGAAACCCUGAUCCAGCCAUCCCGCGUGUGCGAUGAAGGCCUUCGGGUUGUAAAGCACUUUUGGCAGGAAAGAAACGUCGCGGGUUAAUACCCCGCGAAACUGACGGUACCUGCAGAAUAAGCACCGGCUAACUACGUGCCAGCAGCCGCGGUAAUACGUAGGGUGCAAGCGUUAAUCGGAAUACUGGGCGUAAAGCGUGCGCAGGCGGUUCGGAAAGAAAGAUGUGAAAUCCCAGAGCUUAACUUUGGAACUGCAUUUUUAACUACCGGGCUAGAGUGUGUCAGAGGGAGGUGGAAUUCCGCGUGUAGCAGUGAAAUGCGUAGAUAUGCGGAGGAACACCGAUGGCGAAGGCAGCCUCCUGGGAUAACACUGACGCUCAUGCACGAAAGCGUGGGGAGCAAACAGGAUUAGAUACCCUGGUAGUCCACGCCCUAAACGAUGUCAACUAGCUGUUGGGGCCUUCGGGCCUUGGUAGCGCAGCUAACGCGUGAAGUUGACCGCCUGGGGAGUACGGUCGCAAGAUUAAAACUUAAAUGAAUUG
This 563-nucleotide ribosomal RNA is filed under the name uncultured bacterium. RNAcentral's name for it is "partial 16S ribosomal RNA". It matches the Rfam family "Bacterial small subunit ribosomal RNA", at positions 355 to 912 of the family's 1533-position model. The record is from RNAcentral.